CCUUCGAUAGCUCAGUUGGUAGAGCGGAGGACUGUAGAUCCUUAGGUCGCUGGUUCGAAUCCGGCUCCACGAA
This 73-nucleotide transfer RNA is filed under the name Saccoglossus kowalevskii. Its description in RNAcentral is "tRNA-Tyr". It matches the Rfam family "tRNA". From Rfam's summary of the family: Transfer RNA (tRNA) molecules are approximately 80 nucleotides in length. Their secondary structure includes four short double-helical elements and three loops (D, anti-codon, and T loops). The record is from RNAcentral. Lineage: Eukaryota; Metazoa; Hemichordata; Enteropneusta; Harrimaniidae.